Russula brevipes is the source of this 98-nucleotide non-coding RNA. The record is from the annotation of a GenBank genome assembly. NCBI's taxonomy places the organism in Eukaryota, Fungi, Basidiomycota, Agaricomycetes, Russulales, Russulaceae.
GGUAGCGUGGCCGAGUGGUCUAAGGCGCUGGGUUUAAGUAUGUCUACUCGACUUCCAGUGGGGUCAAACCCGCGUGAGUUCGAACCUCACCGCUACCA